UGUUAAAAAUUUCAUCUAUUUCUACUGUUAAAAAUUAGAAUAGCUAACAGAAUAACUAAACAGUGACACGUAAUGUGCUAUGUGUACCUUAUGCUGACAUACAAUGACUAAAUUUUAAUAGUAGAAAUGGAUGAAAUUUUUAAUA
Molecule: non-coding RNA, 145 nt
Organism: Gossypium hirsutum (cotton)
Lineage: Eukaryota; Viridiplantae; Streptophyta; Magnoliopsida; Malvales; Malvaceae
Source: Rfam